GACGAACGCUGGCGGCGUGCUUAACACAUGCAAGUCGAACGAGAAUCUACUGAAAGAGUUUUCGGACAAUGGAUGUAGAGGAAAGUGGCGGACGGGUGAGUAACGCGUGAGGAACCUGCCUUGAAGAGGGGGACAACAGUUGGAAACGACUGCUAAUACCGCAUGACGCAUAGAGGUCGCAUGAUCUUUAUGCCAAAGAUUUAUCGCUUCAAGAUGGCCUCGCGUCUGAUUAGCUAGUUGGCGGGGUAACGGCCCACCAAGGCGACGAUCAGUAGCCGGACUGAGAGGUUGAACGGCCACAUUGGGACUGAGAUACGGCCCAGACUCCUACGGGAGGCAGCAGUGGGGAAUAUUGGGCAAUGGGCGCAAGCCUGACCCAGCAACGCCGCGUGAAGGAAGAAGGCUUUCGGGUUGUAAACUU
RNAcentral lists this ribosomal RNA (421 nucleotides) under uncultured bacterium. RNAcentral's name for it is "bacterial SSU rRNA". It matches the Rfam family "Bacterial small subunit ribosomal RNA", at positions 28 to 432 of the family's 1533-position model. The record is from RNAcentral.